Molecule: RNA transcript, 2536 nt
Organism: Pantherophis guttatus
Lineage: Eukaryota; Metazoa; Chordata; Lepidosauria; Squamata; Colubridae
Source: RefSeq, a predicted model, not a curated record
CUGCAGCUGCGUUUAUAGCCCUCGGUUGUGAAGAGGGGGGGCACCUCCGCCCUAAUGUAGGCCUGGACGAUGAGAAAGGCAGCCUUUCUUUCACGUCUUAAGUCUGUCAUGGCUGCCUCUUUAAUACCCGUUUUCAUUUCAAUAGGCCAGCCUCCCUUUUCAGGGCAGCGAAGGUGCAAUUGCUAACACUCCUCCCUCCUAUUCCCCCCCAACGACGACCCUCUCAAUUCCUGCCAAAUAGAUAGGGAAGAAAUGGAGGUAGUGACAGAUUUUAUUUUCCUGGGCUCCAAGAUCACCGCAGAUGGGGAAAAACUGCAGUCUAGAAAUUAAAAGACGCUUGCUCCUGGGGAAGAAAGCUAUGGCAAAUCUAGAGAGCGUACUAAAAAGCAGAGACAUCACCCUGCCAACAAAAGUUGUGUAUAGUCAAGGCUAUGGUUUUCCCAGUUGCAAUGUUCGGCUGUGAAAGUUGGACCAUAAGGAAGGCUGAGAAGGCCAAAGAAUGGAGGCCUUUGAACUCUGGUGCUGGAGAAGACUUCUGUGAGUCCCUUGGACUGCAAGGAGAUCCAACCGGUCAGUCCUAGAGGAGAUCAACCCUGACUGCUCUUUAGAAGGCCAGAUCCUGAAGAUGAAACUCAAAUGCUUUGGCCACCUAAUGAGAAGGAAGGACUCCCUGGAGAAGAGCCUAAUGCUGGGAAUGAUGGAGGGCAAAAGAAGAAGGAGACGAUAGAGAACGAGGCGGCUGGAUGGAGUCACUGAAGCAAUCGGCGUGAACUUAAAUGGUCUCCAGGGGAUGGUAGAGGACAGGAAGGCCUGGAGGAAUGUUGUCCAUGAGGUCAUGAUGGACAACAACAUGACCCUGUGAGCUCUGGGGUCUGAAGCGGCUUUUUAGCCAGAAGAUGGGGAAGGGGAGCCCCACAUCUGCUGGAGGCCAGAAGUAUUUUCCUAUGCACUUGACAUGACACUCGCUGUGAGACCCACAGUCUUGGGUCUUCCCGAAUGCUGAUUUGAGAAGUAUUUUCCUUGCCUGGUGCCAAGGUUCAAGAUGCCCUUGUAGAUCUCUAUAAACAGGAGCAUUAUGACCCUGGUCACUUGCUUUGUUAGCAGUGCAAACCUCUCCCGGGGCAUGAUCGAUAUUCUGGAAGAAAUCUCACUUUCAAACAACUGGACUGCAAGCAAGUAAUACGUACAUCAUAAAGGCUGAAAAAUGAAAGCAUUUGAACUGCUUUUGAAAAUCAUCGAUUUGUUGGACUUCCUAGGGAAAGUUUUUUAGAAAGCAUCAUAACAAAUUGGACUGUGAACAUUUAAAAACAGAAGCAGAUGGAAAUAGAAGAGGACAGGUAUUGCAGCACAGGUGGUCUUAUGUCCUUCGACUGAACUACCUUUCUCAACAAAUGGAGCCAAGGAUCGUUUCUAUGUAAAGGUUUAAGUGGUGGCAGAUCUGACAGGGAUGAAGUGUCCCUCGACUGAACUUGAAGUUAACAAAAACUGCUUUGUCUUGAAGUUCUCAGUCAUGGAAAUGGUGACAAAGGAGAAGUGCAAAUUCUCUUAAUACUUUUCUCAACAAAUGGAGCCAAGGAUUGUUUCUAUUUAGGGGUUUAAGUGGCAGUGGGUCUAACACCAUGGUAGGCAGGCCUGGGCCUCCUGUGCUAUAGAUCUCCAAAGGCCUCCCCCACGCUCUGCUUAAUGACCCAGAUGUUCAUUUAACAUUGGGAAGAGCAGAGAUGGAGGGUGUUAAGUGAUGCCGUUCACCUGCUGUGGCAAGCAACCUCAGCAUGCAAGGCUCCCUUGUAUCUGGAGAACUACCUGCAUCAAUUGAGUGCUGCAGGCAGAAUCCCUGCCCUUUCCACUAAACAGCUCAAAUGCUGCAGGCAGGACAGAAGAGAGAUGGGUGAGACUUGCUUCUCUGCAACAGUUACAAAAAUCCAGGAACGCCUCCUGGUGACAACUGAGUGUUGCUUGGGACAAAGAUUCCAAACAGAUUGAAACUAGAUAGCCUCCCACCGGUCAGUGAGCUACACUGGCUCCCGGUGGUCUUCCAGGUGCGAUUUCAAGGUGUUGGUUACUAUCUUCAGAGUGCUCCAUGGCUUAGGACCUGGGUAUGUACGAGAUCGCCUUCUGCCACCGGUAGCCUCCCACCGGCCAGUGUGCUCCCGCAGAGAGGGACUCCUCAGGGUACCAUCAAACAAUGUCGACUGGCGACAUCCAGGGGGAGAGCCUUCUCUGGGGGCACUCGCCCUCUGGAAUGGAUUGCCCCCGGAGAUACGGAUGAUCCCUGAUUGCGCACCUUUCGCCGUGCCCUCAAGAUGUUAUUGUUCCAACAAGCUGGGUUGGCCUAAACAUUAAUUUUAAUGGGUUGUUUUUUGUUAUAAUGACGUUGGGGCCAAAUUAUUUAAUGUGUUCUUAAAUUGUUUUUAAAUUUUAUAUGGAUACAUGUUUUAUCUUUGGCUGUGCACCGCCCUGAGUCCUUCGGGAGAAGGGCCGUAUAAAAAUUAGAGAAAUUAAAUAAAUAAACGGGGAAUCCAACAUUGGAAAUAAA